GAUCCAAUAGCACAAUGGUUAGUGCGCCUGCUAACAUUGUGUAGGGAAAAUGUUGGGUAUGCGGGAGGUCCCUGUUCGAUUCGGGGUUGGGUCG
This is a non-coding RNA of Mycena alexandri, 94 nucleotides long. NCBI's taxonomy places the organism in Eukaryota, Fungi, Basidiomycota, Agaricomycetes, Agaricales, Mycenaceae. The record is from the annotation of a GenBank genome assembly.